RNA transcript from Triplophysa dalaica, 4306 nucleotides. It is a transcript of the gene named dematin actin binding protein, with no coding region annotated. NCBI's taxonomy places the organism in Eukaryota, Metazoa, Chordata, Actinopteri, Cypriniformes, Nemacheilidae. The transcript is spliced from 13 exons. The record is from RefSeq and is a predicted model, not a curated record.
CAACUUGAGGGUAAGGAAAUGAUUACAGGAAUUUUCAGUUUUCGGGUGAAUUGUCCCUUUAAUGUAACGGUGAAGAUAUGUAGUGAUGGAGCGUAAUGAAACAUUAAAGCAGAUGGAACGCGCACGCACUUUAUUGGCUGAACAACUGUUUGAUAUAAAUUCAAUAAGACAGCAGGUGACCUGUUUCAUAAAGACUAGAUUUGCAUAGAAGAUUAGAGCCGAAAUGAAAUAACAAAUCAGUGCUUAAUUUAAAUAAUCUGUUUUGUGAAACACAUAAGAAGAGUGCAUUACAGAUUAAGUUUACCUGCAAUAUACAGUAGCAGACAGUCUCCAGUCAUUCAGAAAGGAAAAAUAGUCACACUUUACAGAUGCAUUAACAUGAAAUAAAUAAUAAAGAAUAUGUUUUUACAGCAUUUGUUGCCAGAUUGGCUAGAUUUUAAUCUUUAAAGGGGUGAAAUGACAAUAUUAUCAUUUGUUUUAGAUGUAAUGCAAUGUGUAUACACGAUUUAAGGUUAAAAAACGCUGUUUUUUCCACACACCGAUCAUGUUUGAAUGCUUUGCAGAUUUUUUUACAAAGCCCAUCGCACUGAAAAGCGAGGUGUGCUAUAAUUGGCCUGAUAACCGGUGCAUAGUGAUUGGUCGUAUACUGCAAACGUGUGAUGGAAAUGUAACGGCCUCUUACCAUAUUUGGAACAUCAGGUUCCAGAGCAAUUGUACUGUAAGGUACGCCCGCCUCACUUGCGCAUACAUUUGGUCGAUCUCAGUCAAAUCAUACCAUGAACUGACUUAGAUUUGUGUGGGUGUGGUUAAACGAGGUGUUUCAGACAGGUCUGGGUGAGCAUUCGCUUUUCGAUAGACUGCAUCUUAUUUCCAACACGUAUUUUUGCAAUUUUACGUGUCUAAUACACACAUGGGCAGCUUAUAACACACCACACAGAAAAAAACGUAUUCGCUCCAUAUGACCCCUUUAAGAAACUGAAAUGCUGUCUUAAAUUUUGCCUGGAGAUCAAUUCUUAAUAGAGUUGUGAUGUGAUACUAGCCAGUUGCCACUUCCUCUCAUGAUCACAGUGAAGUGCUUCACUACAGGAGGAAACUGGGAUUCAUCACUGGUUUAAUCAAUAGAACAGUAAUCUGCGAAUCCAGCAGUCAGUCUCGCUGCUCUCUGGUGUGUUACGGCUAAACCAAUAUGCUAAAUAAACUAAGCAACACUGACAAGACCAUCUAUAUCCCUAAGUCCCAGCUGUGGCUUGUAGCUUUUAGCCUAAACAUCACAUUCAUGAAAACACAAAGGCAUCCUGGACCUGCUCAGAAGGGGUGGAGUUAGCUGUUUUAUUGUGGUUUUAUUGCUCUAUAUGACAGUGACAUUAAAGACGAGGGCUGUUAAUGUCCAGAUAGAAACACUAAUAAGGUGGCACAGAUGCUCCCCAGCUCCUCACAUGCUCUCCCAGUGGGGCUGAAAGGUCUUACCGUGGUAAUGUAUCCUGUAUCCAUCAGCACUGCUUGGAGACGUCUCUCAAGACAGAGCGGAGCGUUGCCCCGGUGACGCAACCGACGGGUCUGAUUGGGCGUUGGCUCCUCUUGCUCUGCUGAGAUAAGUGCAUUUCAGUUUGGGUGGAGAGAGAAGUGGGUGGGGUGUUCUGAGCAGCGUGCCGAGAGCGAGAGAGACACUGAGAACUGAGGAGAACAGGAGAAAGAUGACAGGAAGUCUGGAUCUGUCAGAAUAGGAUUUCCUCUUCGUCACAGAACUGGAGCCAAGCUGAAAUCCUGAACUGUAUAGCUGGAAUAACGAAAGCCUUGGUUUAUAGUUUGCUCCAGCCAUGCAGAAGACAGGGACGGCCCCGUCUUCCCGGGGUCCUAGUACACCUAGCUCUCCAGCCACCUCUAUUGUGGCAAGAAUGGACAAUCAGGUUAUUGGAUAUAAGGACUUGGCAGCCAUUCCCAAAGACAAAGCUAUACUUGAGGUGGAACGGCCUGAUCUGAUGGUGUACGAGCCACAUUUCAAUAUCUCAGCCCUGGAUCUGCUCUCGAGAAGCAGAGAGAGAUCAAUGUCACCUCAUUCAAUCUCGCCUCCUCCUUCCCCUGAGAUAUUUGCUUCAAAAGAGUCCAAGGAACCGUCAGAGCAUGGGUCUCCAGGAGGGUCCAACAUGGGCUCCACGGCGCAGCCUCGCAAGAUAAGUCCCGCCUCCAAAGGCCCCAUGCAGCAUUUCCACAGGCCAGACAUUGGCAUGAACAUCUAUAAGAAGCCUCCAAAUUACAAGCAUGACACACAUACCGGAGCGUCCCAUAAUAAACAUGGCAGCAUCAUCGAGUCGUCCAAAUUCCCAGCAGCCCAACCUCCUGAUCCCAACCUGCCCUCAAAGAUAGAAACUGAGUACUGGCCGUGUCCACCUUCUCUAGCUUCUAUGGAAAUCGAAUGGAGGAAGAAAGCAGUCGAGCAGGGAAAAUCAAUCGAGGAAGAGGACUUUGAGGACCUGACAGAAGAAGCAAAGAAACUCCAGGAGCAGGAACUUCAUAAGAUACAGUCCAACAUGGGCAAAAUAAUCCUGAAGGAGGAACUCGAGAAAUCAGUGCUCAUCCGCAGAAAAACACGUUCACUUCCAGAUGGGACCAACAUAAACUUGGGUUCAUCAGCCAGUGCGACUAAAUCAGCAUCUUUACCUCCGUGCAGUCGAACAGGCCUCACAAGGCUGCAGUCAGCAGACUUCACCUUGACAGACAAUGGAAAAGCAAAAACAGGUAAGAUUAAAAUGUUCUCGUUUAUAAAAGUCAAAGUCUUCCCACAUACAUUUAAGAAUAUACGACCAAAAUAAUUUUCUACUUUAAAACACAUUACUAUGUCUUUUUUUUGGAUGUUCUGCAGGCAUACAGGUAAGAUGCUUUUGCUUAUUUCAUUUAACAAGCAUGGCUGUUUGAUCCUAAUAUGACAACAGAUAGUUCUGUUAUAAGCCUUUUAUAUAGAAACCACACCCUUUCCUGUUUGCCACUUCCUGCUAAUGUAUCUUUGCCCUGAGUGGCAGAUAAUAGCUUACCCUCCCUUGUUUCAUGGCUUUCGACUCAUUUGAUUUCCACACGCUGUUUGCAUAUGUAUUCAUAAUGAGUAAAAUUAUUAAUAAUGAAUCAAAUGACUUUCAUUAUUAUGGAUGCAAUGGAGGCCCCUCUCUUUAAAUGUACUGUCUCCUUUGUCCCCGUGGGGAUUUUUUGGGACUGGGGUUAUGUCUGUUCAUAGAACGGUGUAACAGAGAGUGGCCGAAUGGACCGAGGAAACUCUCUUCCUAGUAUUCUGGAGCAGAAGGUGAGGUAGAUGUAGUGACGUGAUUCUGUUACUCUCACAAUUAAAGCUCCUCCAAAGUUUUCAUGCUCUCACCGUUCUAACCCCAUGUCAUACAUGCCCUCAUAUUCCAUAUUGCUUCAAAGCCUUGCAUCCAUUGAAUGUAGAAUCAAGCAAUGUCACUAAAAUGUACAUGGAAACUCUGGAGGUAGAAUUUGUUGUGUUUAGUUUCAAGUAUUCUUCCGUAAGCAUGGAAUUGAUGUGAGCGCAGCUGGGCAAUUCCAAGGUUACGGAUGUGACUCUUUCAAUCAAAACUGGAAAUGUAAAUACUCAGAGAAUAUAUUUAUUACCAAUAUACCCAAUCGUCUGUAUAUGUUUUUCUAAACCCCCGAUGAUAGAGUCCACACAUCCGAAAAAUAUCAGUCCAAAAAGGAUUUUUCUAUUUUACAAGAGUGAAAACGCUUUAUGUAUGUGACAAAAAAAAUAUGUUUUUGAGCGAAAACAUACAUUUUUAGGAUUUCUGUCAAUUAAAAUGCACAAACCAGAAGCAAUAAUACCAAACAAAUAACCAAGGGAUGUCUCUUCAGAGAACACAAAACAUGUGCCCAUUUAUGAGGAAUAUGGACCGUUAUGGAUGUGACAAAGACUAACUUGACUAUGUACAAUCAUGCUUUAAAAACAAAAUGAAAAGUGCUUUACACAUGGGUGUUUUAACUACCAAAUAUGGACCUAUCAGUAUGGUGAAAACCUUUGGUUGAAACUUUAAGGUUGACAUUUGCAUGGAAUUGCCCAGCUUGUUUUUAGUGUCUAGUGUCAUGCACAACAAAACAAUACAUGAUUUUGCAUACGAUGACCCUAAAACAUAACAAAAUGUUGUCUCUGACUUCAGAUAUAUCCUUAUGAAAUGCUGAUAGUGACCCACAGAGGGCGCAGUAAGCUUCCACCAGGUGUUGACAGGACCAGAUUAGAGAGACAUCUGUCUCCAGAGGAAUUCCAGAACUUAUUCGGAAUGUCCAUCUCAGAAUUCGAUCGUCUGUC